GCGGCGGUGCUGGAAUCGGCAUACAGGGCAGGCUCAAACCCUGCUGCCCUUCGGGGCUUGUGGGUUCGAAUCCCACCCGCCGCA
This 84-nucleotide transfer RNA is filed under the name Acidimicrobiales bacterium. RNAcentral describes it as "tRNA-Leu". It matches the Rfam family "tRNA". Rfam says of the family: Transfer RNA (tRNA) molecules are approximately 80 nucleotides in length. Their secondary structure includes four short double-helical elements and three loops (D, anti-codon, and T loops). The record is from RNAcentral. Lineage: Bacteria; Bacillati; Actinomycetota; Acidimicrobiia; Acidimicrobiales.